GAAAGAGUUCCUGAAACCAUGUGCCUACAAGCAGUCGGAGCCCGUUAAAGGGUGACGGCGUGCCUCUUGCAGAAUGAACCGGCGAGUUAUGAUUGCAUGCAAGGUUAAGACGGAAAAGUCGGAGCCGUAGCGAAAGCGAGUCUUAAAUGGGCGUAAGAAGUAUGUAGUUAUAGACCCGAAACCAGGUGACCUACCCAUGUCCAGGUUGAAGGUGCGGUAAAGCGCACUGGAGGACCGAACCCGUGUCAGUUGAAAAUGGCUGGGAUGAGGUGUGGGUAGCGGUGAAAUUCCAAACGAACUUGGAGAUAGCUGGUUCUCUCCGAAAUCUCUUUAGGGGGAGCCUUGAGGACAAGAAUCAUGGAGGUAGAGCUACUGUUUGGACAAGGGGCCCGUCAUGGGUUACCAACUUCAGAUAAACUCCGAAUGCCAUAGAUUUAUACUCAGGAGUCAGACGAUGAGUGAUAAGAUCCACCGUCGAAAGGGGAACAGCCCAGAUCACCAGUUAAGGUCCCUAAAUAUAUGCUAAGUGGAAAAGGAUGUGGAGUUGCAUAGACAACUAGGAUGUUGGCUCAGAAGCAGCCACCAUUUAAAGAGUGCGUAAUAGCUCACUAGUCGAGUGAUCCUGCGCCGAAAAUGUACCGGGGCUAAGCAUAUUACCGAAACUGUGGAUGUGCACUACGUGCACGUGAUAGGAGAGCGUUCUAAGGGCGGCGAAGUCAGACCGUGAGGACUGGUGGAGCGCUUAGAAGUGAGAAUGCCGGUAUGAGUAGCGAAAGACAGGUGAGAAUCCUGUCCACCGAAUGACUAAGGUUUCCUGGGGAAGGCUCGUCCUCCCAGGGUAAGUCGGGACCUAAGCCGAGGCCGAAAGGCGUAAGCGAUGGCUAACAGGUUGAGAUUCCUGUACCAGUUGAAUGCGUUUGAAUGAUGGAGGGACGCAGGAGGCUAAGCGAACCGCACGAUUGGAAGAGUGCGGCCAAGCAGCAAGUCAGUAACUGAGUCAAAUGCUUAGUUGCGGGUUGACAAGCUGUGAUGGGGAGUGAAAUUAAAGUAACGAAGUCGCCGAUGUCACACUGCCGAGAAAAGCUUCUAGUGAGUAUUCAACUGCCCGUACCGCAAACCGACACAGGUAGUCGAGGAGAGAAUCCUAAGGUGAGCGAGUGAACUCUCGUUAAGGAACUCGGCAAAAUGACCCCGUAACUUCGGAAGAAGGGGUGCUGGCCGCAAGGCCAGCCGCAGUGAAAAGGCCCAGGCGACUGUUUAUCAAAAACACAGGUUUCUGCAAAAUCGUAAGAUGAAGUAUAGGGGCUGACGCCUGCCCGGUGCUGGAAGGUUAAAAGGAUGGGUUAGCUUCGGCGAAGCUCAGAAUUGAAGCCCCAGUAAACGGCGGCCGUAACUAUAACGGUCCUAAGGUAGCGAAAUUCCUUGUCGGGUAAGUUCCGACCCGCACGAAAGGCGUAACGAUCUGGGCACUGUCUCAACGAGAGACUCGGUGAAAUUGAAAUCCCUGUGAAGAUGCAGGGUACCCGCGACAGGACGGAAAGACCCCAUGGAGCUUUACUGUAGCUUGAUAUUGAGUGUUUGUACUGCUUGUACAGGAUAGGUAGGAGCCGUAGAAAGCGGAACGCUAGUUUCGCUAGAGGCGCUGGUGGGAUACUACCCUUGCAUUAUGACCACUCUAACCCGCAGCACUGAACGUGCUGGGAGACAGUGUCAGGUGGGCAGUUUGACUGGGGCGGUCGCCUCCUAAAAGGUAACGGAGGCGCCCAAAGGUUCGCUCAGAAUGGUUGGAAAUCAUUCGGAGAGUGUAAAGGCACAAGCGAGCUUGACUGCGAGACAGACAGGUCGAGCAGGGACGAAAGUCGGGCUUAGUGAUCCGGUGGUUCCGCAUGGAAGGGCCAUCGCUCAACGGAUAAAAGCUACCCUGGGGAUAACAGGCUUAUCUCCCCCAAGAGUCCACAUCGACGGGGAGGUUUGGCACCUCGAUGUCGGCUCAUCGCAUCCUGGGGCUGUAGUCGGUCCCAAGGGUUGGGCUGUUCGCCCAUUAAAGCGGUACGCGAGCUGGGUUCAGAACGUCGUGAGACAGUUCGGUCCCUAUCCGUCGCGGGCGUAGGAAAUUUGAGAGGAGCUGUCCUUAGUACGAGAGGACCGGGAUGGAC
Molecule: ribosomal RNA, 2156 nt
Filed under: Limosilactobacillus antri DSM 16041
Lineage: Bacteria; Bacillati; Bacillota; Bacilli; Lactobacillales; Lactobacillaceae
Description: bacterial LSU rRNA
Rfam family: Bacterial large subunit ribosomal RNA
Source: RNAcentral